GUCAGCGGCCAUGGCAGGGGAGGCACACCUGGUCCCAUUCCGAACCCAGAAGUUAAGCCCCCGAGCGCCGAUGGUACUGCGGAGUCAGUCCGUGGGAGAGCAGGACGCCGCUGACC
Coriobacteriaceae bacterium is the source of this 116-nucleotide non-coding RNA. NCBI's taxonomy places the organism in Bacteria, Bacillati, Actinomycetota, Coriobacteriia, Coriobacteriales, Coriobacteriaceae. The record is from Rfam.